This 156-nucleotide ribosomal RNA is filed under the name uncultured bacterium. RNAcentral describes it as "partial 16S ribosomal RNA". It matches the Rfam family "Bacterial small subunit ribosomal RNA", at positions 355 to 509 of the family's 1533-position model. The record is from RNAcentral.
UAGGGAAUAUUGGACAAUGGGUGCAAGCCUGAUCCAGCCAUGCCGCGUGCAGGAAGAAGGCCUUCUGGGUUGUAAACUGCUUUUGCCAGGGGAUAAAAUAUCCUUGCGAGGAGAAUUGAAGGUACCUGGUGAAUAAGCCACGGCUAACUACGUGCC